AAUCAUAAAGAUAAUAUCCUCUCCCAAUACAAAGUUUGAUAGUAUCAGUGCAUAGGUUCCCUCAAUUCAGGUAGGUUUGCCUCCAGCCUGACAAAAGCGCAAGGUCAAUGACGGAAAGCAGCAAAUGACACGGGCUGUUCGGGUGUGGUUGACCAUGCCGAAACCUCUGGGUAUAAUAAUUUUUGGUGAUCAUCUAUCAUACGCUGCAACUUUGCUGCUUCCUUCUCAAUUUCGCAAUCUCUGUAUGCAUCCCGUAGCACCUGACCAAGGUCAUCAGUAGGGCUAUCUUCUGCGAACUCAUCUUCAUCAACCUCGUUCAUUGUAGUAUCUGCAAAAGCUUGGCCUGCAGCCUAGUCCGGAAUGUUGUCAUUAUCCUGCUCCUCUUCGUUGUCUUCCAUUACAACCCCUCUUUC
RNAcentral lists this long non-coding RNA (413 nucleotides) under Setaria viridis. RNAcentral's name for it is "long non-coding RNA (SVIR_LNC008188)". The record is from RNAcentral. Lineage: Eukaryota; Viridiplantae; Streptophyta; Magnoliopsida; Poales; Poaceae.